RNAcentral lists this long non-coding RNA (23930 nucleotides) under Eucalyptus grandis. RNAcentral's name for it is "long non-coding RNA (EGRA_LNC004911)". Lineage: Eukaryota; Viridiplantae; Streptophyta; Magnoliopsida; Myrtales; Myrtaceae. The record is from RNAcentral.
CCAUCCUGACCGAUAAUGACCAGAGUGGGUAGGGUCGACAGCUUAAAGUACCUCACCAACUUCUCGCAUUUCUUGUCUUUGAAUGGUAAUGAAAGCCAUGGCAUGCUGCCAAAGGAUUGGUUGAAUGAUGCUUCAUCAUCAUCGAGAGGUAUCUGAACGAUCUCAAAACUCUCUCCUCUGGCCUUCAAUUUCUCAUAAACCUCCAGUAACUUAGGCGUGAAAUCGACGCAUGCCCUGUGCACGGACAACGAGAAGUACAGACCCACUGUUUUCNNNNNNNNNNNNNNNNNNNNNNNNNNNNNNNNNNNNNNNNNNNNNNNNNNNNNNNNNNNNNNNNNNNNNNNNNNNNNNNNNNNNNNNNNNNNNNNNNNNNAAUCAUAGCACAUGCGACCAUGAGUUUCAAAUGCAUCGAGAUCUUUUUAGGUUUACCUGAUUCCGAUUGACGAAACUACGAAGUUACGAGAUCCAUGGACCAAAAGAGAGGUCACUGAUUGAUUUAUCCUAGUAGCUUCUUCCUGGUCUUUCAACUCUUUGAUACGUUCUGGAGUGAAAGGGUGACCUUCCACUCCAUACUCACGGACAAUCGCAACUCCGCUAUCUGUUAAGACCGUACCUGUGCCAUCGAGAAUGACAAGGUGGGGUAUCCCCCUCACCUUAAACAAUUCAUCCAAGCUAUUGCGCUUGUCCAAGUCGGAAAACGGGAUUGCAAGCCACGGCAUCUUGGAAAAGUAUCCACUGAAGGACCCUUCAUCCUUAUCUGCAGAGAUAAAAAUGAUCUCCAGAUCACCUUUUGGGGAAAGUUCAUCGUACACCUCCGCCAGAAUCGGGGUGAACCGGUGGCACGGACCGCACCACGAUGCGGAGAAGUACAAGCCAAUCUUCUUCCCCUUCAAGCUAUCGACCUUAACCUGAUAUAGAACAAAAAGAUUCCUAAUUUUAGUUCUUUCAUACGGUAAUCAGCGAGCAAGGCACACUAGAUCACUUGACCACCACACAAAAAUCCUGAAAAUGCUCAAGAUACACAUCCAAAUGCCAACUGCAGAAGCACUUCCCUUAUGCACUGCUCAUUAAAUAGUUAGCAAAUCAGCAGUCUUCGCCACCAAAACAAGUAUACCACACCGAAGGUGUGAGCAUUUACACUAAAGAGCAUUACUUCAUAGCAAUAUCGGAUCCAUAUACACUGCUCCCACCCGAUCCAACUCCAAGUAACAUGUCUUUCUCUAAAAAGUAAUGCAUCAACUACCGAUCAUCCAGUUUCUGAAGGAAACAAAUGGACAGCACUCGAAAAUGAUGAUCCUAGAUCAGACCAACUUUAGCUUCUCUUGAACUAAAUUUAAAAACCGAUCAGCGAAACAACCCCACACGAAGACGAAGGCCACGAGAACUUCGACAAGGACGCCCACCCAUAAUUCUUUUUCUUUCACCUCAUCCAGCGAAAGAGCAAGAGUGAAAGAAGAGAACUGAGUUUCACCUGAUCGCCGUUGUUCCGGAUGAGGAAGUCCCUGUCCGGAGAAGACAGGAGGGACUGAACAUCGUGAGAAGAAGCCCCGCCUUCGACAACGUCCGCCAUCCUGGUCGCGUUCGUUCCUUGUGUCCUGUUCUCGUGUCUCUGCAGAGAGUCUGCCUGAGAACCNNNNNNNNNNNNNNNNNNNNNNNNNNNNNNNNNNNNNNNNNNNNNNNNNNNNNNNNNNNNNNNNNNNNNNNNNNNNNNNNNNNNNNNNNNNNNNNNNNNNGCAAAGAACCAAACGGAAAGAACAUCGGCAUCUAAACUUAAAAGGCGCACGAACUCAUCUUCCAAUCCGGCAAGAUAAGCCCCAACCAAGAAUCAGAUCAGCAAAUGCUCUCGACCCCCACCCUCCCCCAGUUUGAAAUUCAAGAACCGAUCACCACAAGGCCAAGAAUUUCUCGCACGAAACUGGGUAGUCAGCGAAACAACGAGAACUUCCACAAGGACGCCAACCAACCCACAAAAUUCUUUUCUUUCUCCCCUCUUCCAAAGGGAAAGAGCGGGGAGUGAAAGAAGAGAACCGGGAUGGACAGGGUGAUCGCCGUUGUUCGAGAAAAAAAGGGGUCCCUGUCCGGAGAAGACAAGAGGGACUGCACAUCGUGAGAAGAAGCCCCGCCUUCGACAACUUCCGCCAUUCUCGUCGCCUUCGCUGCAGCGUUCUGGUGUCCUUGCAGAGCGUGCUUGAGAAAUCCUCCUAUGGCGGGCUUCUGCACCUUGCUCCUGUUUAUAUAGACAGAAAAAACUCAGGCAGGCAGGUCUUUUUUUUUAUAAUUAAAUUAUCACCGAAAUUAACUCUUUAAUUUUUCCUUCUUUUUUUUUUUUUUUGGGGGUUCUGGAUUGUUCCUUGGACUUUCGUGGGGCGCAAGGAUGGCAUCUCGGGAGAUGGGCUCCAACGUUGGUACGCGUCCACGUCAGCAUAUUAAUUGUCUUCUUUUUCCUUACUUCGAUUUUUUUUAUCUUAUUUAGCCCUUUUGCCAUUUUAUGCUUCCUCCUCCCCCAAGAAAUCUCCGCUGUAGAAGUCCGCAAAGAAUCAUUUAUUUUUACCCUCUCGAUAUUAUAAAAUGUUAAAUCUUAAUUUUUUUGUAUUUCAUUCAAUACUUUAGAUUUUGUCUUUUCAUUGGCACGUGGGGGCGGUGGGUGAAUAUAUCUCUAAGGGUGCGCAUGGUUUCAUUUCUGUUCCUUUUCUGUUCCCAGGAACAGAAACAAAAAAAAGUGUUUCUGUUCCGGGGAACAGUUUCUGAACAAAAAAACGCGUUUGGUAAGUGUAAAAAAAAACUGUUCUUGGAAUAAAAAAAGAACAGAAAUAUGUUUGGUAACUGCAGUCAAUUUCUGUUCUUAGAAUAGAAAAAGAACAGAAACACGUUUGGUAAACGACAAAACAAUUUCUGUUUUUUUUUUUGAUAAAGUUUAAAAUUGAUAUUAAAUUGUCAUUCUUAUGAAAUGCUCAUUAAUUUUAUUUUGUUCAUGGUUAGUGAAGACAAACAUUUUUAGCAUGAUCAUAUGGCAUAUUUCGUAUAAAAUUUUGUAAUUAAAGUUUGUAUCUAGUAAAUUCAAGUACAACCACGCUGCACCCCGACUUUAGCUAACCCCCUUGGUGGUGAAAUCGUCCUUCAACGCCCUCGCCACGUGCUUCACCAGCCUGUCCAUUCCACAUCACCAUGAGCAACAAAAUAACAAUAGAAGGAAACCACAUCACCAGCCUAUUCAUUCAAAAUCACCAGCCCCUGUCCACCUCGCUAGAGCUGCAGCAGCAGCUGCUGCACGAGCAGCUCGAGCGAGCUGCUGCAGCAGCUGCUGCUCGAGCAGCAGCAGCAGCUCGCUCGAGCAGCUCUAGCUGCUGCUCGAGCAGCUGAGCUGCAGCUCGAGCUGCUGCAGCUGCUGGAGUUGAGCUGCAGCUCGCUCGAGCUACUGCUCCAGCAGCUGCAACUCGAGCUCGCAGCAGCUCGAGCUGCUGCAGCAGCUACUGCUCGAGCAGCUCGAGCUGCUGCAGCUGCUGGAGUCGAGCUGCAGCUCGCUCGAGCUACUGCUCCAGCAGCUGCAACUCGAGCUCGCAGCAGCUCGAGCUCGAGCUCGCAGCUGCUCGAGCUCGAGCUCGCAGCAGCUCGAGGCAGCAACUCAAGCGAGCGAAGGGGGAGGCAAUGACGAGCUGCAGCUCGAGCGAGCGUUGCUCCCCUUCGGCGCGGCAGAUCUGGGCGAGCAACGCUCGCUCAAGCCUUGAGCGAGCAAUGCUCGCCCAGAUCUGCGGCAGAUCUGGCCGAGCAACGCUCGCUCGAGGGACGGCUCGCCGCGCCGAAGGGGGAGCAGUGCCGACCGGAGAAGGAGCGCCGAAGGGGGAGCGACGCUGACCGGAGGAGGAGGGCCGAACGGAGAGCAACGCUGACCGGAAACGUACCUGGAGUCGCCGGAGAGUUAGCCGAGUGGGAGCCGCCGGAGAGAUGGAAGACACGCCGGAAACGGAAGAACGAAGCUUCAGCCGAGAGGAGCGACGACGAGCACGCACGAAGAGUUCUUCGCUUUGUUCCGAAUUUGUUCUUUUGUUUCUUUCGUUUUUGUUCUUUUGUUCUGUCGAAGAAGUGUUUCUUUUCAAAAGAAACAACUUUUUUUUGUUUCUUUUUUCUGUUCCUAUUUCGUUCCAGAAACAAAAAAACAAAAAAGGAACAAAAACGCAACCAAACGCGUUUCUGUUCCUUUUUUGUUCCCGGGCACACUUUCCGUACAAAAGUGUGCCGGAAACGUUUCUUAGAAACGUUUCCAUGCACGCCCUAAAUGGUCGGUUCAUCCUUCCUGCAACGGUUGAAUUAUAUGAUUAUUAAAACCAAAAAGUGCGCCUUCUUAGCCCUCGUCCAAAUAAAUGGUAAUCAGAAAUUGAAAAAUUUAUAUAAUUGGGAGGAUGAGGCUGAUUUGCAGGGAUGGAAAGAGGGGAAGUUGAAAAGUAUCAUGCGAAGUAUUAUUCUUAGUGGCUAAGAUUGUGCCAUCCGUUAGUCAAUUACCUAGACACGUUGGCAAAGCUAUGUCUUUAUCUUCUCAUUUUGUUCAUUAUUGACCCGUUGACCAUUCCUUGCUUCCUUCCCAAGUAGUCUAUCCCCAAAAAUUAAACUUUGACAAAAUUUUAUUUUUUUAACCCUCUCAAUUUUCAUAUAAGUUUGGUUUAAAAUUUUUUAAGAGCUAAAUUGCAUUUUUGCCUUUUCUCCGCCCAUGGGACGACAUUAAAUGAGAAAUUAAAGGUGUGAUUGCUCAGGUCAUUUUUUUUUAUUAUAAGUUUGUUUUAAAAUUUUUGAGAAUCUCAAUUUUACCCCUUAGUUUUUGGUUGGUCCCACCCCCCCCCCACCCCCCCAAAAAAAAAGGUUGACGCGCCUUCUUAUCCCUAGUCCAAAAAUAAUGAGACAGGGUAUGAAAAGUGGGUAAAAAUGUCGCGAUUAAUUUGUUCGAGAGAAAAAUUAGAGAUAAGAGAAAGAUGAUUACAGAUUCGUUGAUUUGAUAUGGAUAGUUAAAGAAAAGAAUUAUUCCAAAUGAUUAAAAAAAUGGAAAUUUUAUUGAAUCAAAAGUUUGCAAUAAUUAGGAGGAUAAGACUGAUUUGCUUAGGACACGAAUGAUAACCAUUCUAAUAUGAAAUUGAUUUUUGUAACAGAAAUAAAUUUUUAUAUUUUUAUUUUUGGACGAGUUUCUGAGUGACAUCGACCAACCCAAUUUUUUUUUUUUUGAGACCAACCCAGAGUUGACCACCCCUCUUGUGGCACCUUGGAGCUCCGUUAAGCUAUUUACCAUUUUCUUCUUCUGCUUCUUUAUUUUUUUUUUAAUUUUCGAAACUUUACUAAUUUGCAAUUAUUUGGCAUAUAAUAUCAAUAAAGACUACGAUUAACAAUAAUAGUGAGCAACCAAACGGGUCCUUCCAAAGUGAAAAUUACAAAUUUUCAAUUCUUAUUAAGAUUUCAUGUUUAAUUUACCCUCUUAAAUUUCCAUAACCGGAAGUAUCAAUUGCCUUGUAGCUUUAUGAAGGGAAAAUUAUCAAAUCAAUCAUGAGCAUAUUAUACAAAUAUCAAUUCAAUCAUUAAUUUUUUUAAUUUUCUCAAUUUUAUUUUAAACCUUUCCAAGAAAAUCGGCCACAAUAACUGAAUUGGCAACAUUGAAAUUUAGGAUCAAAUUGACAUUCGCAUAACGGGUUUAGGACUGGUUGGACAAGUAGAAGCGGAAUGUUAUUUAUUUAUUUUUUAAUAUUUAUUUUGGUGGUGUGUCGUUCAAAAGCUAAAGGCCAAAUAGGGCGUCGGGUUAGUCGAAAGGAGCCAAAAAAUAAAAAUAAGAAACAUAAAAGAAAUGAUAGUGACGGACCCCAGACUUUUGGGACCCACGCCGACGAAAGAGGGAACGGGGAGACUUCCAACCGGAAAGAGCAUUAAAUAAUAUAGGUAAGGCAGGUUCCAUCCUUCACCCGUGAUGAAAGAGAUGCCCAGUGGAUGACCAAAACCUUGAUGAAAGAAAUACCUCUGAAACCACAUUCUUAUCACCCGUGUCUAAAAUUCCUAAUUAAAUAGACAUAAAGAUAAGUAAAUGGUAAUUAUCUCGUGUCCCAACAUAAUAUGCCAUGCGAUAAUCGCAAUUUUCUCCACCAUUAUAGUAGCACGAUCUUGAAAAAAAAAUCAUAAUGGUUCGAUCUCAGUGUAUCCCAUCAUCCAUCAUACCCUUGAGAAGAGAACUGGAUCUUUAUAAGCUUCUUAAACAUCUCUUUUUUUUCUUUUUCUUUUUUUGGAUCGAAUGACUUUCCCUUAAGUCUCAAACUCUUCCUCUUUUAUAAAGGAAAAUAAUUUCAACUAAAAGUCCAUUUGUUUUGUAAAAAAUAUUUUCCAUGAAAACGUAUUUCUUAUUUUCUGGCAUUUGGUUCAUUUAGAAAAAUAAAUCAAUAGAAAAUAUUUUCCUAAUCAAUGGAAAAUAUUUUCCCAUCAAAACUUAAACUCAGGGAAAAAAUUUUCCUAUCAAAACUUAAAAUUAGGAAAAUGAUUUCCCUUUUGAAAGAAUCAGAAAAAAAUUUCCAAAAUGUUUUACUACUCUAAUGAAACAUUUAUUCUUAUUAAAAUAAUCUAAAAAAAUGUUGAAUUUUUAAUUUUUUUUAAUUAUGUUAUUAUUAUUUUUCUUUUUCUUUUCUUCUUUACUCUUUUCUUUCUUUGCCUUUCUCCUUCUUCCUCCAUUGGUCGCGUACCUUAGUGACAACUAGCAGCCAUCGACCAUGACGCGGGUCAACAAGCUUGAAUUGGUGGAGGCUGGCAGGCUCCUGGCGAGCUCCUGGCUUGCUUGAUCCCAGCAAGCUUAAGCUCACCUGUGGCCGUUGCUGAGACUCGACGAUUGGUAGAGGGAGAUGGUAAUAGAAAAAGAAAGAAAAUAAAAUAAAAUUUUUAAAAAUAUGAUUUUUUUUAAUUGAAAUUAUUUUUCGAAUGAGAUUCAAACACUAAAAAAUAUGUUCAAUCACAUAUCACUAAAUAAAUAAAAACUAACUAUUUUUCUAAAAGAUGAUUUUCUGAAAAUGAUUUUCGUUUAUCAUGAAGUUUUUCCUCAAACAAACGCAUCCUUACGAUGUUACGACAUAGACACAAAAUGAUAGAUAAACUAAUAAAUGAAAACAAUAUAAAUAAUCCAUGAAUUUUGGUUCAAUAUGCAAUGUAGUCCCUUAACUUUAAUUUAUUCAAUAUGAUCCAUGAAUUUUAGCUCAAUAUGGAAAAUUGCCAUUGAACUUUUAAUUUUUUUCAAUGUACUCCUUGAAUUUUUAAUAUAUGUUUAAUUUAGUCGUUGGACUCUAUGAAACUAUUUAUUAUUGUCCAUGAUCUUGAAUUAAUGGAAAAACUACAUUGAAUAUUUUCAUAAAGUUCAAAGACUACAUGUACAUUAAACAAAUUAAAAGUUCAGAGACCACAUUAACAUUAAACUAAAGUUUAGGGAGUUUAUAAAUCAUUUAUGUCAUUAUUCCAACUAAGAAUUCAAAAGAAUCUACAUAAAUACCAUAUUAUCCCAGUUACUGUUGUACACCCUAUUAUGUUUUGGGCUCUUUCCAAAAUUAUUCAAAUCACGAUUUUCGUUCUUUAUUAUAUUUUUUGUUAUUUUUUGUCCAUAUUAGCGGGUGGCCUUUUUCUUUAAUAGACAAAGGCUCAUGGCCAUUUAUCUAGUUUGAGUUUUUUUUUUAGUCAAAAGGAAAUUUACAUUCAUUAUGAAACUAAUGCAUAAAAGGAAAUCUCAAAAGUCGCAGUAACAAAAUAAACGAAUAACUAGAAAUCAAGGUGUUUUAUUAGAGUAUGAUUGGCAGAGAUUAUCACAAGCUCGUUUGUCAAGAACAGAUCUAUAAUGACAGAGAUCAUUACAAGGUUGUCCUUCAAGAGUAGAUCUGUAACCGGAUCCAAGCGAAAGGAUUGACGGCCAAUCACCGACUUACACAGUAUUAUCAGUGAUAAGCACACGCCACCAUUUGUAAUUAUGAAUUUGCCUUUUGAGUGAUUAUGUGCGCCUAAGUUCGGCGUCCAAACCACCAUCACCUUAUGUAGACAACAUAAGUAUAUUAAAAAUCUUAGAUCCGACACUUGUGAGAGUGAGUCUUGCAGAUCUAGUUUAAGCUCGAAAGGUUUUACUAUAAUCAAUAUUGAAAACGUAUUGAUUUGCAUUUAUUAUUUCUCCUUUUAAAAACAUGACCCCAUCACCAUUUUAAUACUUAGUCAUUAUUGUACAAGCUUUUACCUUACCUUUUUACUUUGCUAAAAUUACGUAAUCCUAUUAACACUAUAUUUAUAUUGAUUUCAAAAGUAGGAACAAAAACAUAAGUGAGCUCAAUAAAAACGAUACAGAAGAGUCUAAACAAAAAUUAAUUAACCUAUGUACGUAUAGAAAGUCAUUGUAAAGUUGAACAAAAAAAAUUAAAAGUACAGGUACAUAUCAUUAUUUAUGUACUCGAUGCAAAAAUUUAACGAAUAAGAGUCAGAUAAGAGGAAAAAUGUCCAUAUAAAAGUCCGAUUAAAAGCAAAUAUAAAUUUUACCAAAAAAAAAAAUGAAAAAACACGUGUUGCGUGAUGCCCGAAGACUUGACGUCGACUCUCUCUUCUAAGUCUUCCCCUUCCAAAAUUAGUAGAGCCACAGAGGCACCUGUCGUGCGUUCCAAAACGAUGUGGCUUCUGUGUUUCUUGAAAUGUAUAUUUCAUAAAAUUGCAGCACCUCGACACCGGGUGCGGUAGCUUCUUGGAAAAGUUAUUAUAAAACUGCCGAAAUUUCGAAGCAAUUGUAGCCACGAGGCAUUUACUGAAUACUUUACGGAAGAAGCAACUCUUCAAAGCCAUUCCAAAUGAUAGUAAGCAUGUGAAUUUUUGGAUCAUAAUGAAGGGAGUUUCCAAAGAUUUUUAGGAAGAAUUCCCUAAUCAUUAAUGGCUGCAUAAAAAAAGAGACUGAAUUCCAUUUUUUUUUUAUAAAAAUUAUGAAAGAAAUAAAUAAUUAUGAUAAAAUUACGAUUAGGAGAUUUUUGUCCUCCACCACCGUACAAGUGGCCCCAUAAUGAAUGAACUGAUGUUUGGGAUUAGGACCAAUAUGUCUUUUGCAGAAAAUAAUGUUUAUUUUCAGGAUUUGUACAUUAAUUGGUGAAAAUCUCAAGCCAAGGCAGAUUAAAAGAUUAACCGGUCACUGCUCAAUUGGAAAAAUAGGCAACACAACUGGCUAGUUGUGUAGAGCUACAUUAGGAAAGGAUAAUAAUGACCUUUGGACGUAUUUGUUUAAGCGAAAGAAUUCUUUAUGAAUUAAUUUUCCGAACUUUCAUAUAUUUGAUUUGUUAAAAAUGAUUAGUCGAUAGAAAAUCAAUUGUAGUAAACAAAAUAUAUGUAUAAUAAAUUCCCUAAUUUGAAAAAGGGAAAAUAUUAGCUUAAAAAAUAAAAAUAAAAAAUUCGAUAGCAUUUUCUUUUCUGAUCAAAAAAGCAUUUUCUUUUAUCAUUUGCAGUUGGAAACCUUAGUCGUGACUCUAAUACUAUCAAUUUUUGAUCUCCUCCUCCCCUGUUGAAAGUUUAAUUUGAUCUCAAAUUUCAUGUUACUUUUUUUCUCGAAUGGGUAUAGAUAAAGGAGCUUGACCAAAUAGUGUGAACACCAAAUGGAUGAGAUCAAAGAUCAAUUUGAAGCAUUUACAUUGAAUAUCCCCUUGUUUUUGUAUGUGCUUGGUCUAAGCGACAAAAUAUUACGUGUUCAAGUGAUAGACGCAUCAGUUUUACACAAGUCUAUUUCAUGAUUGACACGAAUUACUUUUGGACCCACCUAUCAGAAAUCUUUGCAUUCUCUCCCUCUCUUCUACAUCUUUCCCUCCCAAAAUUAGUAGAGCCAGAUGGGUGUAGAGACAGUUGUGGUGUGUUCCAAAACAACGUGGCUUUUGUGUUUUUGGAAAUGUUUAUUUCAUAAAUUGCAGCACCUCAACACCGGGUGUGGUAGCUUCCUAGAAAAGUUAUUAUAAAACUACUGAAAUUUCGAAGCAAUUGUCGCUGUGAGGCGUUCACCGAAUAUUUAUAGAAGCCGCAAUGCUUCAAGGCCAUUCUAAAUGAUAAUGAAGAGGGUUUCCAAAGAUUUUUGGGAAGAAUUCUCUAAUCAUUAAUUGCUGGAUAAAAGAAGAGAGUGAAUUUUACUAUCUACCGUAAGUCCUAAGUUUUCAAUUGUGUUACGAUAUUUCUUUAAUAAAAAUUACUAAAGAAAUAAAUAAUUAUGAUAAAUUGCGAUAAGGAGAUUCGGUCCUUCAACACCAUAUAAGUGGCUCCAUAAUGAAUGAAUUGAUAUUUGGGAUUAGGACCAAUAUGUCUUUUGCAGAAAAUAAUGUUUAUUUUCAGGAGUUGUAUAUUAAUUGGUGAAAUUCUCAAGCUGAAGCAGAUUAAAAGAUUAACAAGUCAACGCUUAAUCGGAAAAAUAGGCAACACAACUAGCUACAUUAGGAAAGGAUAAUAACGACCCUUUGGAUAUAUUUGUUUGAGCGAAAGAAUUCUUCGCGAAUUAGUUUUCUGAACUUUCAUGUGUUUGAUUUGUUAAAAAUGAUUAGUUGAUGGAAAAUCAAUUAUAAUAAAAAUAUAUAAAUAUAAUGAAUUUUCUAAUCUGAAAAGGGAAAAAUAUUAGCCUAAAAAAUAAAGAUUUUUCAAAAGCAUUUUCUUUUUUGACAAAAAAGAAAUUUCUUUUAUCAUUUAUGGUCGAAAGCCUUAGUCGUCGAUAUGAUACUAUCAAUUUCUGAUCUCCUCCUCCCUUGUUCAAAGUAUAGUUGAUCUCAAGUUUCAUGUCACCUUUUUUCUUUUUGAGUGGGUGUAGAUAUAGAAGCUUGACCAAAGAGCGAAUGCCAGAUGGAUGAGAUCAAAGACCAAUUUCCAAGAGAAAGAAGCAUCUACAUGGAAUAUUCCCUUGUUUUUAUAGAAAUCCAUUCCACCAUUGACACGUAUCACUCUUGGACCUACCUGUCAGAAAUCCUGACAUUCUCUCUCUCUCUCUCUUCAAUUAUGUGACACUCUCUCCUCUCUCUUUUGCGUUUUCUGAUACAAAGGACAAAGCCUACUCUAUUUUUGUCAAAAUGCUCUAUAUCCCUUCCAAGAACUCGCCGCUUCAAUCUUCGCUCACUUCUUCUCCGACCUCCAGCCCUACCACCUCUUGUCCAACUCCUCGUGCGCCCUCUAUGGUCACGUUAGCUAGGAGCUCGAGGCCCUCUACCGCGUUGACGGACCAUGCUGUUGCCUCCACCUCCGCCUCAUUCCUUACCUGGUCAAAGUUGAGCUCUAGAUCACAAAUCUAGGGCUUACUUGAGCUUAGACCCAAAAUUUGAGGCUCAAGUUCAUUGAUUCAGCUUGAACUUGAUAAUGGAGGACUAAGAUGAUGGUGAAAUGGUGGUAGAAGGCAAUUUACGGGAUUAAGUUGAUAAUGAGUUUGACUUGAGGUGUUGUCGUCUCUCGCAAAGUGAAAGGAGGAAGAAAAAGAAAAAAAAAGGAAAAAAAGUAAAAACAUUAAUUAAAGAGAGAGGAUAUAAGGGUUUUUCAUAGGUGGGCCCAAAAGUGACAUGUGUUGGACAUUAAAUGGAUAUGUGUAAAACUAAUGUAUCUAUCAUUUGGACACCUAACAUUUUCUUGGAUCUAAACAAAAAUAAUCACGUUACACGUCACCAUGGCCACGUUAGUGCAUAGUCAUUUUCCAACCACUCUUUCACAUUCUUUCCUCUUAAGCUCCUUUGGGACAACAAUUAUGUUAUCGAGAACAAUUUCGGUUCAUAAAUAGUUUUAUUUAUUUAUUUAUAUUUUUGGAAAUAAAAAAUAGUUUUUAUUUAUCUAUUAUCUCUAUUCCAAAUCUAUUUCCUGAUCACUUAUCUAUUCUGGAAAGUAGAAUAAUUAAUUGACGUACACAAAUGGAUUUAUGUUCUUGAAAAACAAAAAGAUAGAAAAACAGAAAAAUACACUAGUUACCAAACAAGUCAUAAGUUUUGCAUAAUACUUUUUCAAACUCCUCCUUUUCACCUCCUUGGAAAUCAGUCUCGUCCUCCUAAUUAUCGCAAAUCUUCUUCUUCUUCUUCUUUAAUCUUUUUCUUAUUUAAGAUUCUCAUUGAAUUAAUAUAUAUAUAUAUAUAUAUAUAUAUAUAUAUUUUUUUUUUUUUUGGUCAUUCCUAGUCUAUGUCUACUCUACACUCACUUGUAGACUUGUGCCCUGCCUCUUGCAGGGCGUGGGAGUCGCAACACACUCUCGAAACUUACGCGUCCUUACCCCCCAUCCCCCAUGAGAAGGUGGGGAUUUGAACCCCUCACCUCCCCCUUCCAAGUUGGAAGGGUGGCCACUGGGGCGAACCCCCAGUGGUUAUUAAAAUAUAUUGAACUUGACGAUUUUGCAACUGUUUAUUUGGAUUAGGGUUAGGGCCCCGUUAAUUUGUUUUGAGGGUGAGGCGACGGUGAAUCGAGCCCCCACAGACCUGUUCACUUAAAGCUCCCUUGCUGAUAAAAAGGCAAAAUCGCAAGCUUAUGAAUAAGAUAUGCUUUUAAAAAACUAAGAUUUAACAUAUUGUAAUAUCGAAAUGAAAUUCUUUGCAAAUUUCAAAAGGAAUGGUAAAAGAGGUAUAUAAAGAAUAAAUUGCGCCGUUUGUAAGAUGACGUGGCGUUUAUGUUUUUGAAAUCUAUAUUUUAUAAAUUGCAACACCUUAAAGUCAGUAGCUUCCUCAAAAGUUAUUAGAAGCGGCUGGAGUUUUGAAGUAGCCGUAAUUGUGAGGCGUUUACCAAAUACUUCAUAAAAGUCGUAACGCUCCUUUUUACAAUUGAAAUUGCUUCAGAAAAUCUGUUCCAAAUAGUAAUAGGCAUGUGAAUCUUAGAUUACAAUGAAGGGGGUUUUUAAAAAUUCUAGGGAAGAGGAUCCCUAAGCCUUAAUGACCAUUAGAUAAUAAUUAAAAGAGAAGAAGAAGCGAGUAUCACCGUUGAUCACGAACACAUUUAAACGUUUGCAUGUUAUAAUAUUUUAUAUAAAAAUUACAAAUAAAAGUAAACAAUUACGAUUAUUUGGGAUUGGGAGAUUCGUUCUUCGAGAUCAUACGAGUGCCCCAUAAUGAAUUGACGUUUAGGAUUAGUACUUCUUGGUUGAUUUAGGACCAAUAAUUUUCUUUCUAGAAAAAAGAAAUUUUCUUAUUCAGGAUUUGCACAUUAAUUUGUGAAAAUAUCAAGCUAACACAUAUUGAAAUAUGGGAAAAUUCCAAAUAAAGGCAUAAAGUGUUAUCAUUUUCUCAAAUAAGGACUCUAAAGUGAACCUUAUAUCGAAUAAGAAUCUAAAAUAGACAUGGUUGUUUCAAAUGAAGGCCUAACCUCGCCGAUUGCCAACUUGGCUAAAUAUUUUGAUUGAGUAAAGGCAUUUUCAUCCAAUUAUAAUUAUAAUUAUAAUUUUUUUUAUCAUUUCCUUUUCUUUAAUUCAUUUUUUUUCUGAUAAGGGCUCAGCGACCCUUUCUGGCUACGAGCGAGGCCACCCUUGCCUAGGGCCGACGAGGGCUUAAUGACCCUCGUCUGCCAUUGGCCUCCCCUAAGGUAAGGCCGCCCCUCGCUUGCUGUUGGUGAGGCGACCCCCACCUAUGUCCAAAGACAAAUCAUAAUCAUCUUAUCCUAGCAUAACGUGUAACCCGAUGCCGUACUUUAGGUGUAUUUGUUUUUGGACAAAUUUCAUGAUAAAUGAAAAUGUAAUUUAGGAAAUCAUUUUUCAGGAAUUUUUUUCCCCUUUUCAAAUUAGAGAAUUUAUUUUCCUAACUUUGAGCACACAUUUUUUUCACUGUAAAUUGUUUUCUAUCAAUUAGUUCGUAAAAAAAUUUAAAUAAAUACUCAUUAAUGUCCUUUCCUGAUGUAGCUCUGCACAAUUAGCUAGCUGCAUUGCCUAUUUUUCCAAUUCAGUGGUGACCCAUUAAUAUUUGGGUUAAUAACCUGAAAAUUUGCAAACCAGUACACAUGUGACAAAUUUACUCUAAACUAUUUUUUUUACAAUCAAAAACUCCAAAUUAGUAUACCUUUGGCAAAUUUACCAUAUGUUAGUUUUCGUUAAAUUUUACUAUCAAAUUAUUAAGUUAACAUGUGACAAUUGACUAGUAUACCAAUCUUGAAUUUUACACUCUGUUUGUCACAGUUUACAAUUUUUGUGAUGUUUUUGUGGUAUUAUUCCAAUUUAGCAGAUGAUAUAUUUGUUACAAAUUUAUUAAUUUGGGGUUUUUUGCGGUCAAAUAAAUUAGUUUUGGGUAAAUUUGUCAUAAACGUACCGGCUUAUGAUUUUUUUAUGGUUAGUCGGGGUAAAUUUGUCACAAGUAUACUGGUUUGAGGUUUUUCAUAGUAAAAAGAAAAACAGUUUUUGGUAAAUUUGUCAUAAGUGUAUCGGUUUGGGGUUUUUUAGGGUAUUAAAUCUUUUUAAUGUGCAUUAGCUUGAGAUUUUCACCAAUUAAUAUGCAACUCCUUGGAAAGAAUUAUUACAUUCUACAAAAGACAUAUUGGCCCUAAUCCCACACGCAGUUCAUUAUGAGGGCACUUGCAUGGUGUCGAAGGACGAAUCUCUGGAUCGCAAUUUAUCGUAAUUAUUCAUUAUUCUUUCAUAAUUUUUACACAAGAUACUGAAACACGCAAAAAAUUUGGAAGGGUUUACGAUCGAUGGUGAAAAUCCCUCCUCUCUAUCCUAUGGCCAUCAUUGGUUGGAUCUGCUUCCCAAGAAUCUUUCGAAGCCCCUUUCAUUAUAAACCAAAUUUCAUACGUCUACCAUCAUUUGGAACAAACUUCCAACAACUACUUUAGUCUUGAAAAAGAAUGUUUUGACUAGGGAUGAACAUUGUUUGAAUGGCCGAUUCCCACCUUAAAAUCAAAAACCGCCCACUAAAAAUCAUUUUUGAAAAACUUGGAAUGGGAUACUACUCAAUGAUUUCAUGGAUCCACCUAGGAACCGAUCUCCAAUCCUUAUAAAAUUGCAUUCAUCAAUUUAUAUCAUAUCAAACCUAAUUUUUAUUUAGAGCACCAAAGUUUGCUUAGCUAUAAAUUAAUGUUGAAUUGCGAGACAUUGAUUUUGAUUAGAGAUUGACAAAUAUAGAGCAGAACCAAUAGACAAUACUCAUUAGUUAAGAACUUAAUUUUUUCAAAUGUCAUGAUGUGGUCCUCUUAAGGUUUUCCGAUAUCAAGAACGUAUGGAGAAUUAGACUCUACGUUAGAAGUCCUAACCUCCAAAGAAAUUAAAACAUUAAUCACUUGAUUCAUUUUUUUUUCAACCUCAACUAAUUUAAUCACGGGCAUAGCUAAGAAAAACCUAAUUAUGCUUUUAAUAUGAGCCAUUGACUCUUAAUUUUGUAUCAAUACAAUAAAGUGCCGCAACAUUUAGGGAUAUCUCUAACCGGUCCUCUCCUUUCUCUUCAUUUGUCUAUUUUGUUUUGGCUAAGAAAGUAAGUAAAUAGAUUAUUAGAAUGAAAAAAAAAGGUAGGGGAUUAAUCCUAUUACACACUCAAAAGACAAAAUUAGUCAAUAAUGUCUAAUAAUAUAUAUUGGUCAAAAAACUACAAAAUAAUUAAGUUAUAUAUAUAGAUUUCAUCUAGGUGGGCGAUUCCAUACCUAGAAUCGGGAAUCGAAUCGGUGCUCACCCGUUCCACUAAAUUAGAACUAAGAAUAAGAUUAGUCCUCAUGGAAAAUGCCAGUUUUGUCCGAUUUAAUGCGAUUCUUGGUUCCUUUGAUCCAUCUUUUUUAACAUCAACUAAUAUUUAAUCAUGGGGAUGGUUAAAGAGAGACCUUAUUUUGCUCUUAAAAUGAGCCAUUGUCCUCUCUUUCCUCUUUGUUUAUUUUGUUUUGGCUAAGAAAGUGAGUAAAUAAAUUAUUAGAAUAGGGUUAAUCCUAUUACACAUUGGAAGGACAAAAUUUGUCAUAAUGUCCAAUAACUACAAACAUAUAUUUUGGUAAAAAAAUUUCAAAAUAAUUAAGUAAUAUAUAUAUUGAGAAUCAGACCGGUACUCACCAGUUCCAUUAAAUUAGAAUCGAGACCUGGACUAGUCCUCAUAGGAGCCACCGAUUUUGUACUGGUUUCAGCCUGGUUCUUUGCAAUUCAGGCGAUUCUCAAUUCCUUGGCAUUGUCACGGCUACUUCAAAAUUUCAGUAGCCUUUGAUGACUUUCUAGGAAGCUACCGCACCCGACAUUGGAGUGCUACAAUUUAUAAAAUAUGCAUUUCAUAAUCACAAAAAGGUACGUCAUCUUAUACAUUUUUACCAAACUGGCUCUACUUAUUUUGAAAGGGAAAGACCAAGAACAGACAGUCAACGUCAAGUCCUUGGGCAUUAUUUAUCGCCGACAAUACCUAAUCUAGGGCAGGUCAUCCUUUUUACUUAUUGUGAAAACUCACUCUUUGCACGGAUAUUGUGAAAAAGACAGAAUAUAACACGCGUUUUUCAUUUUCAUUUUUAUUUACAAUUUAUUUUCGAUUUGCUUUUAAUCUGACUUUUAUAUGGAUAUUUCCUUUUUACUUUCUCGUGUUCGUUAAAUUUUUGUAUCAAGUACAUAAAUAUUGAUACGUACCCGUAUUUUUUCAAUCUUUUUUCAUUUCAAAUUCUUUUCAUUUACCUUGCUUGAUUUUAUUUUAUUUUUAACUUUACCGUGACUUUCUAAAUUUACAUAUGUUAAUAUUUUUAUUUAGACUAUUUUAUAUCGUUGUAUCAACUUCAUUGAAGAACUAUUUUGAUUCUGUCAUUACUUUUGUUAUUAAUGUAAGUAUGGUGUCAAUAGGGUUAUGAAAUUUUAGCAAAAUAAAAAGGUAAAGUGCAAGUUUAUGCAACCAUGAAGUUAUGAUUUUAAAAGGAGAAACAAUAAAUGCAAAUCGAUUCGUUUUGAAUAUUGAUUAUAGUAAAAAAAUUUUGUGCUUCAAGUGAUAUUAAAUAAGAUUUGCCACACUCAACUUGAACAUGGCGAAGUGAGAAACUUGAACCAGAUAGAGAAGCUUAGUAUCCCCAAAGCCUAAUCUUCUUCUAUUAUUAUUAUUAUUAUUAUUAUUAUUAUUAUUAUUAUUAUUAUUAUUAUUAUUAUUAUUAUUAUUAUUAUUAUUAUUAUUCUUAUUAUUAUUAUUAUUAUUAUUAUUAUUAUUAUUAUUAUUAUUAUUAUUAUUAUUAUUGUUAUUAUUGUUAUUAUUGUUAUUAUUGUUAUUAUUGUUAUUCUUAUUAUUGUUAUUAUUAUUAUUAUUAUUAUUAUUAUUAUUAUUAUUAUUAUUAGAGCGAUACAAGUAUUCUUUUUAAGGAAAAAUGUUGUAAAAAUCAUUUAUCUUUUACGAAACAAAUAUAGGUUAAAUAUACUUAAAAAUCAUCUUAGCCCCCUCUCCCUCCUCUAUUAUAACACUACCGCCCCAAAAAUAAAAAUACAACUAUAAUAGUCCAAUAACAAUGGACAUCCAUCCACAUCAUGCUCUCCAAAAGAGUGAUCUACAACCUUUUGAAAAGAUAGAAGAUUCCAACACUAUCGUUAUUUAUUAUAAGAUGAACAAUAACAAUUUGAAUACUGAAUAAUAUAUAUUUUGAUAACUUGAAUGUUAUCUUAUUCCGUAAUAUAUCUUAUUAGUUCUAUAAUUAUUCUACUUUUGCAAAUCAAAUUGUAUUUUGGAUUCUUCUUUAGAACUAUUCAUAUUAGUUGGUGGCCUUUUUGUUAAUAGACAAAAGCUCAUUAAUAUCCUUUCCUGAUGUAACUCUGCCCAACUAGCUUGCUGCGUUGCCAAUUUUCCAAUUGAAGCGAUCCUUUGAUAUUUUAAUAUGCAUUAGCUUGAUAUUUUCACCAAUUAAUGUACAAAUCCUGAAAAAUAAAAUUUUAUUUUCUAGAAAAAGACAAGUUGGACCUAAAUCAAUAAAGAAAAAGGCCCAUCAAUAUCCUUUCCUGAUGUAACUCUGCCCAACUAGCUUGCUGCGUUGCCAAUUUUCCAAUUGAAGCGAUCCUUUGAUAUUUUAAUAUGCAUUAGCUUGAUAUUUUCACCAAUUAAUAUACAAAUACUGAAAAAUAAAAUUUUAUUUUCUAGAAAAAGACAAGUUGGACCUAAAUCAAUAAAGAAAAAGAUACUAUUAUAAAUGUCAAUUCAUUUUGGGCACUUGUAUGGUUUCGAAGGAUGAAACUCCGGAUUGCAAUUUAUUGAAAUUAUUUUUUCCAUUAUUUUUAAUUAAAAUAUUGUAACACACAAAAAUUUAAAAUGGUUCGUGAUUAAUGGUGAGAUUUACUCUCUUUUCUCUCCAACCCCAUGAAAAAUUAGGGAUAUGCUUUCGAAAAAUCUUUAGAAACCUCUUAUUACAAUCCAAAAUGCAUAUGCCUAUUAUCCUUUUGAGCAGCUUUGCGUAGUAAUUUUCAGCCGUGAAAAGGAGUGUCAUGACUUUCGUAAAUUAUUUGGUCAACACCUCACAGCUACAGCUAUGACCACUUUAAAAUUUCAGCAGCUUAUAAUAACUUUAUAGGAAUUAGGAAGCUACUACAAUUUAUAAAUUAUGCAUUUCAAAAACAUGAAAGCCACCUCAUUUUAUAACACACCUCAACUACCUUUGUACCAAUCUGGCUCUACUAAUUUUGAAAGAGAAAGCCCAAAAACAGAGAGUCAACGUCUAGUUUUUGGGUAUCAAUUAUUCCUGACUGGGCCUGGACCACAGAUUGCAAAAUGAAGCUGGCUCAUCCCAGUUUUGUGCGUAUGAUAAACUGGGUGAUCAGUUCCCGGUUCAGUUUGGUUUCAAGGUGGAACCGGGAAAUAGACCGGGAGAACUGGUUCCGGUCCGGUCCGGUCCAACAAAAUUGACAUUUUCCUUUUUCACUAAAGAAAAACCAUGCUCCGGACUGAUCAAUCCAAUUCGGUUCCUAGGCGUUUUAAUAAAACUACUCACACAUGUUUCCAUGCGCCAUGUGCAAAAUAUUCACACUUCACUUGCGUGAAUAUCAAUCACAGUUUAUGUGUUUCACGCUUAAUUUUAAGCAUAAAAGCCAUGAACAAUUUGAUUAAAGGUUGUGCUUAGUUUAGAUUUUAUAAACAAUCUCUCUUCUAUGCUUUGAAUGUUUAGUCGAUAUCGGACUCUUUGAGGCUUGAAGUGCCUUGUUGUUUGCAAGUGAGGGGAGCAAGUGAGAGAGUGUGAGCACGAGGAACUCCUAGAGCCUUCUCUCACAUUGAGUAGAAAAUGAAACUAACAAGUAAGUUUUCUCUAUAAAUAAAGAGUAACAACAAAGCUUUGGUGGUCUCUUGGCCACAUAGAAGAUUGUUACCUCAAUUGCAAUUGUAAUUGCAAUAAGUUUCAUAUAUAAUAUUCAUAUAUUAUAUGUGUUUAUAUAUUAUAUGUAUAUAAAUUAUAUAUAAAAAAAUUGGUCCGGUCUGGUCGGUCCGGUUGGUCCGGUUCCCACCUUGAAACCAAGAACCAGACCAACCGGCCGCCGGUUCCAAGAUUAGGAACUGGGAACCGGACCGCCGACCGUGGGAACCGCCCAAAACCGGCCGGUUCGGUCCAGUCCCGGUUCAGGCGGUUUCCGUUGCACACCCCUAUGAUAAACAAGCUAGCAGAUUGGGUGGUAAAAGCCCCACGAAAAGAAGAAUUCCCCCAGAAUUGGCUAUUUCAUCCUGGGGAACUUAUGUUGGAUAAUUUAUAUUGGGUAAAAGUCACCAAUAACACAUUUAUUUAAAACUUUUUUUCGUGACACAAAAAACUCUAAACUAAACUAAUGUGUACAUUUACCCCAAAUUUAUACAGUGUGACAUCUUUAUCCCAAAUUUAUUUUUCAAACAUUUACUUGUGUGAUGAAUUCACCCAAAAAAUUUGGUGUCUCAAGAAAAAUUUUGAGAUUUUUGGUGUUAUAAAAAAAAAAUUAGAGUAAAUACGUCACACAGGUAAAAAUUUGGGAUUUUUUGUAUCACAGAAAAAUUCGAAGCAAAUGUGCUAUAGUGGGCAAAGUUUGGAGUUUUUUGCGUCACAAAAAAUAAUUUAUGGUAAAUGUGUCAUUAUCAGCAAAGUUUGAGAUUUUUUUUUUUUUGGUAACUUUUUCCCUUAUAUUUUCACAAACUUGGCUUGAGUUGAUAAAAUUUAUGUUUAGACACAAAAAAAUUUGUUGCAUACUAGAAAACCGACUCUUUGCGCAGAAAUUGAGAAAAAAACAGAAUAAAAUUAUUGUCCUUUUCUUGCAUCGUGCGGAUUCCCACCCAAUACCACCUGUUUUUAUUUAUUAUUUUUUUUUUGCUAAAAAUCAAUUUUCCAUUUGCUUUCAAUAUAACUUUCAUAUACUACUGCUUUUUACUACUGUUCUCUUGUUCCUUAAAUUAAGAGAAGAUAGCAUAAAUGAUCCUUGAAUUUUGUCUCAAUUCGCAAUAUCAUCCUUAAAAUUUUAAUUUAUUUAAUGUGGUUCUUGAACUAUUAGUAAAUGUUCAAUGUCGUCUUUAUGCUUGCUCAAAGGGCAAACCAAAUGUUAUUUUGAUGAUGUAGAUUACUAUAUGUUGAGUUGAAUUUUUAGAAAUGAUGAUUCGAUAUAUCUAUCAUUUUACCCAUCUACUUUAGAUAAGGAAAAAAUUUAAGCAUUAACAUGUCCAUUGUUAUUUAUUGACAUGGAUUAUUAUAUCCAAGUCAAGAUGAAUAUCUUACGUGGAUAAUCCAUAAAUAACUCUUUUUCUUUUUUUGCUCACUAUUCAAACCUAAAUGAUUGGAAGCUACAUCACUAGAUUUGUUAUUGUAGCUUUUGUUAAUUUGAAUUAAUGGAAGGAAUGUAUUCUAGAAUUAGAUUGAAUAUUUGUAAAUAAUUCAAGUAUCACAUUGCAUAUUGGACCAAAAUUCAUAGACCAUUUACGUCAUCUUUCUUUAAAUUUUUUAAUCAAGUACAUAAAUAUUGCAAUGUACCUAUGUUUUUCAAUUUUUUUUUUCAUUUAAAUGAGUUUUAUUUGGAGAGAAUUCAGAAAGGGCUUUCUGCUUCGUUUAUAACCACGGACAGAAUGCAAUAAAGUCAGCGGGGCACUUCCAAAAAGCUUUCAUUAUACCUUGAUUUUACUCAAAUUAUCUAAUAAAUGUUUUUGGAGGUAGAACCCACUGAUUUGUCAAACCCAUUAUGGCUAAUUCCUGCCACAUCUCAUUAAACUACAGUUUAGAUUAAAUAAAAUAUAUGGUAGAAAUGAAAUAGCAUUUCUUUACACUUCGGCUAAAAUAUUUUUACAACUUUGCCAUGAAUUUCCAAAUUUAGAUGGAUUGAUUUUUUUCUAUUUAUUUUUUUUAUAUCAUUGUAUUGACCCCAUUGAUAAAUUUUUUUUAUCACAAUUAAAAAGUAAAAGCUUACGCAAUCAUGAAUGAGUAUUAUAAUUGUGAUGGAAUCAUGUUUUUAAGUGGAGAAACAAUCAAUGUAAAUAAUUACUUAUUGUAGAUUUUAGCAAUAACUUUUGUGCUUCAAGUAAAUAUAAAAUAAAAUUUGCCACUCUACUUGAACUAGAUAUAUGGCCAAGUAUAACACUUGAGCCAGAGAGAGAAGUUCAGUAUCUCCAUAGCUUCAUUUUCUUGAUCGAAAGUUUUGUGAACUAUGAUUCAGCUACAAUAAAUCACAUGGGACUCCAAACAUUUCUUGAUACUCAAGACUCGAUCGAAUCUAUUAGAGCUAGGUCUCUUCUCGAAACUAAAAUUAAUACCGACAUCUUUUUGUCCUUACUAGAAAAAGAAUUCAACCAAAAAAAGAAGUGUGGAAAUGUGGAAAUAGAAAGCAUAAGGCGUUCCUUUUUCUGCUUGAGAAGGAAAUAACAUUCCACGUCGAAUGUAUCGAUUCUAUCCUCAAAUUCAACCUCUUCAACGAAGUGGAAGAUAAACAAACAUCAAGUCUCGUCUUCUUGACAUUACAUUUAAGUUUGAUAUAUGGGGAAAACAGUCAAAUUAAUCCAUCUUCUUUGCCCAAGAACUAGACAUAUUGCUAACAGAUGCUCUUUCAUAAACGUGAGCUGCAAUUGGGCCUACAAGAGCCAACAGUUCUUGCAAACCGGCCUGCUCAUCAAGGAUCAGCAAGGCAUGAACUUUUGCGGCGCCUUCUCCGUCUUGUUUUUUCCGAUCGCUCUUCCUUAAGACGACUAGCGACAUGCAUUCCAAGAGCAUGGGAUUAUACGCCAAGAGUUGGGGGACUUAAUGGGAGCUGAUUAACUUUCCAUUGUCACAAAUUAUAUCAACUGAUCCGGAUCUAGAGUCACCAUCUAAUGAUAUAACAGAGGAUCUGUUACCAUAAUGCUGAACUGCACAAUAACUAAUCACUAGGACUUUAGGACUGAUCCAUCCGGAUUGUAUCGAUUAAGCAUGUUCUAUUAAGUCCAGUGUGCAUGCAACAUCUCAAAGCUGCAUCUUCAAAAGGAGAGACGGAAGUGCAUGUACGACAACUGCCGAUCAAAGACUACUCGAUCCUACUGCUCUAUUUAGCGCAUGGCUUGUCGACAAUAAAAUUUUUAUUAAGAUGGCCAACUGUCUCAUAACGCACAUCAUAUUACUCACAUACAAACCCCUCGCAGAUCAAGCUCGGAAACAUCCUCCCAGAAAAGAAAAAAAGGAGAACGGCUCCAAACGAGUCAUAGAUAACGAAACUUCCAUACGGCUACUUUCAGGCUUUACGACAGACCUCACCAUCACAGACCCAUCCUUCUUUGGCAUCUCCUUCUUUCUUUGCUUCCUCCUCAGCUGCUUCAUCGUCUUCAUCUAACUCGUUUUCAGUUGCUUUCUCUUCUUUAACAGCACAUUUUGGAUGGAGAUCAAAGUCACACUCCUCGCAAUAAUAUGACCACCCCUCCCCCUCUUCAUCGCAGCCCUCACAAGUGUACCGUCUCCUCUGAGCCGGAACGAGCUCGUGCUCUUCAUGCAAAGGAUGCUUCAACUUCUCUGGCCAGCCUUUUAUACUUUCCUUGAACUUUUCCUCAAACUUCUUGAGAUGUUCGGCAGUAAAAGGAUAAGCAUCAGCCCCGUGGUCCAUUAUAAGAUCCCUUGCUUUGUUAGUCACCGUCCGGCCCGUUGGACCUAUGGCUACAAGCAUGGGGAUGCCCCGGACCUUGAAUUUGCCACUCAGGGAUUUCUUCCUCUCGUCACCAAAAGGGAGCGCCAGCCACGGCAUCUGAGCAAAAUAAUCAUCAAAGGCAGUUUGAUUCCUGUCACUGGAGAUGAAGAUAACCUCCAAGGCAUUGCCGGCAGCCUUGAUCUUUUCAUAUGCCUCCAUAAGCACCGGCAGGAAUGCACGGCAAGGACGGCACCAGUGUGCCGAGAAGUACAGGAGGACAGUCUUCCCUAUCAAGUCUGAUACUGGAAUCUGCAAUCGAAGUUAAGAAACAACCUUUUAGAUGAACCACAAAUUGAUGGAGAAAGCACAUGAAAACUGCAUAUAUGGAAAGGAUUUUCCUAGCUAUAAACCUGGUUUCACUCCUUUCCUCAAGUCAAGUAACCCGAGGUACAACUUUAUAUGGGGCCUCAUUGUAGACAUUAAAAAUUUCUGAGUCAUUAGCUUCUAGAAGAAAAACAAAUUUACCUUGGUUCCUUCCUUUCCAAUGAUGAAAUCCAGAUCCCCUGAAACCAAGAUCGACUCCAAGGUCUGAGAUUCUUCCUUUUUCUUUUCUAUCUCUGCAAGCUCUGCAAACUUUUCUGGAGUGAAUGGGUAAGCCGCAACGCCAUGCUUUUCGACAGUUCCGGCAACAUUGGGAUGGACAGUCUUCCCAUCCUGACCGAUAAUGACCAGAGUGGGUAGGGUCGACAGCUCAAAGUACCUAACCAACUUCUCCCAUUUCUUGUCUUUGAAUGGUAAUGAAAGCCAUGGCAUGCUUCCAAAGGAUUGGUUGAAUGAUGCUUCGUCAUCAUCAAGAGGUAUCUGAACAAUCUCAAAACUCUCUUCUUUGGCCUUCAAUGUCUUAUAAACCUCAAGCAACUUCGGCGUGAAAUCAACGCAUGAUUUGGACAUGGACAAUGAGAAGUACAGGCCCACAGUUUUCCCUUCAAGCUCAGAAACAGAAACC